GCGCGAAACCGUCCCUAUGGGGGGGCGGUCGUCGGGGCGUGGUGGCCCUGGCCUGAUGAGCAGCCAAAA
Molecule: non-coding RNA, 69 nt
Filed under: Magnetococcales bacterium
Lineage: Bacteria; Pseudomonadati; Pseudomonadota; Magnetococcia; Magnetococcales
Source: RNAcentral